This is a long non-coding RNA of Thunnus maccoyii (southern bluefin tuna), 1145 nucleotides long. RefSeq lists it as uncharacterized. Lineage: Eukaryota; Metazoa; Chordata; Actinopteri; Scombriformes; Scombridae. The transcript is spliced from 5 exons. The record is from RefSeq and is a predicted model, not a curated record.
AUAGAUAGAUAGAUAGAUAGACUCAUAGGGAUGAUAUUUGGCCCAGAGGUUUUAUUAGGUUUUGGGGAACAGUUGUUCAGGGGCCAGUGUUUAGAGAUCAGGGACUGAGGGAGUUAGAGAGAGCGAUGGAGGGAUUGAAGGCAGGGUUGAUCUGCUGCAAGGGAGUCUUCCUGUGCACAUCAGGAGAGGACUCAUUACUCACACUUGAUAAAGCCAUCCAAGUCACCUUCUGGACUCUCCAUGGACAGUCCCACCCGCUCAUCCCAGCUGUGUACAUUGGCCCAAGCCAAGACAAGACCGGGUGUGAUUCUCCUGUCUGGGAAGAACAUCACCAGGGACAUACAAAAAGCCAGCGUUUGCAGUAGUGCCUCAGGGGCAACAAGGGCAACGGAGAAGGGUCUCUUUGUGUGCUGGAAUCAUGGACGUUUUGGCUGGGAUUGGCUGGUUAAAAGGAGCAUUUUCCAGAUGCCUCAGCAUUUCCUGUUUUUGGAGUAAAUCAACCACAAAGGAGUUUAGUAAAUAAGCAGCGCAAAGGUGGGAAUAAGACUACAUUCAUUAAAAUUUAAAGAGGAGAGACAAGAGGAGGAUCGGAUGGCACUCUCACAGUGUCAAUCGGAUCCCCUGGAUUGGGACGGUAGAGGAGGAGAGUUCUCCAGGGGCCGCCAGCCGCUGCGCCAGGAUCAGCAGGUUUGGCUGGCCAGAGGCAGCAUCAGCAGCAUACAGAAGAGGAGAUGAAGUCCUGGUGGCCUCUUGCCAUCCUUUUGUGCCAACUAAGAAGCCUUUGUUAUGAGGAAGGAGUUUGGGUGCGGAUAUUUGCCUAUAGCAGAUGCAGAAGAUAUUUUUUGGGGUUUUAUUUGGAGAACUUUAGAUACAUUUAGUUAAUUCAACAACUAGACUAACAGUCUACGGCCAUGCUAGCCUAAAUGUUGCUAAAUGCUUACAUUGGCAUGCUAACAUGCUCACAAUGAGAAUGUUAACAUGCUGAGGUAAAGCAGGUAAUAUUGACAAUCUUCACCAUCUUUGUUAGCAUGCUUGUUUUGCUAUUUGGUUAAAAUUGAAAAUUUCAAAAUUCUAACCACUAAUGUUUCAAUAAUAAAUCUUAUUGUUCCCUUUAAAUUCUGUGUAGCCUGUCUGUAUACAUGUAA